RNAcentral lists this unclassified non-coding RNA (342 nucleotides) under soil metagenome. RNAcentral's name for it is "partial contains 5.8S ribosomal RNA, internal transcribed spacer 2, and large subunit ribosomal RNA". The stretch from base 1 to 120 matches the Rfam family "5.8S ribosomal RNA", at positions 35 to 154 of the family's 154-position model. The record is from RNAcentral.
GAUGAAGAACGCAGCGAAAUGCGAUAAGUAAUGUGAAUUGCAGAAUUCAGUGAAUCAUCGAAUCUUUGAACGCACAUUGCGCCCGCCAGCAUUCUGGCGGGCAUGCCUGUUCGAGCGUCAUUUCAACCCUCGAGCCCCCCCGGGGGCCUCGGUGUUGGGGGACGGCACACCAGCCGCCCCCGAAAUGCAGUGGCGACCUCGCCGCAGCCUCCACUGCGUAGUAUCACACACCUCGCACCGGAGCGCGGAGACGGUCACGCCGUAAAACGCCCAACUUCUUAGAGUUGACCUCGGAUCAGGUAGGAAUACCCGCUGAACUUAAGCAUAUCAAUAAGCGGAGGA